CGCGUAGGCGGCAUGACAAGUCACUUGUGAAAUCUCCGGGCUUAACUCGGAACGGCCAAGUGAUACUGUCGCGCUAGAGUGCGGAAGGGGCAAUCAGAGUUCUUGGUGUAGCGGUGAAAUGCGUAGAUAUCAAGAGGAAUACCUGAGGUGAAGACGGGUUGCUAGGCCGACACUGACGCUGAGUGCGCGAAAGCCAGGGGAGCAAACG
Molecule: ribosomal RNA, 208 nt
Filed under: uncultured bacterium
Lineage: Bacteria
Description: partial 16S ribosomal RNA
Rfam family: Bacterial small subunit ribosomal RNA
Source: RNAcentral